ACUCAAAGGAAUUGACGGGGACCCGCACAAGCGGUGGAGCAUGUUGUUUAAUUCGAAGCAACGCGAAGAACCUUACCCACACUUGACAUCCUUCUUAGGGCUUUCAGAGAUGAUUGCUUUCGGUUCGGCCGGGGAAGUGACAGGUGCUGCAUGGCUGUCGUCAGCUCGUGUCGUGAGAUGUUGGGUUAAGUCCCGCAACGAGCGCAACCCUUAUCGUAUGUUGCCAUCAUUUAGUUGGGCACUCAUGCGAGACUGCCGGUGAUAAGCCGGAGGAAGGCGGGGACGACGUCAAGUCAUCAUGGCCCUUACGUGUGGGGCUACAAACGUGCUACAAUGGUAGGUACAGUGAGCAGCCAGUCCGCGAGGACGCGCUAAUCUCUAAAACCUAUCUCAGUUCAGAUUGCACUCUGCAACUCGAGUGCAUGAAGUUGGAAUCGCUAGUAAUCGUGCAUCAGCAUGUCACGGUGAAUACGUUCCCGGGUCUUGUACACACCGCCCGU
This 500-nucleotide ribosomal RNA is filed under the name uncultured bacterium. RNAcentral's name for it is "bacterial SSU rRNA". It matches the Rfam family "Bacterial small subunit ribosomal RNA", at positions 899 to 1397 of the family's 1533-position model. The record is from RNAcentral.